UACAGAGGUCUCAAGCGUUGUUCGGAUUCAUUGGGCGUAAAGGGUGUGUAGGUGGCGCGCUAAGUCGGGUGUGAAAUUUCGGAGCUUAACUCCGAAACUGCAUUCGAUACUGGCGUGCUUGAGGACUGGAGAGGAGACUGGAAUUUACGGUGUAGCAGUGAAAUGCGUAGAUAUCGUAAGGAAGACCAGUGGCGAAGGCGGGUCUCUGGACAGGUACUGACGCUGAGACGCGAAAGCGUGGGUAGCAAACAGG
This 253-nucleotide ribosomal RNA is filed under the name uncultured bacterium. RNAcentral describes it as "partial 16S ribosomal RNA". It matches the Rfam family "Bacterial small subunit ribosomal RNA", at positions 524 to 776 of the family's 1533-position model. The record is from RNAcentral.